RNAcentral lists this ribosomal RNA (496 nucleotides) under uncultured bacterium. RNAcentral's name for it is "partial 16S ribosomal RNA". It matches the Rfam family "Bacterial small subunit ribosomal RNA", at positions 28 to 507 of the family's 1533-position model. The record is from RNAcentral.
GACGAACGCUGGCGGCGUGCCUAAUACAUGCAAGUAGAACGCUGAAGAGAGGAGCUUGCUCUUCUUGGAUGAGUUGCGAACGGGUGAGUAACGCGUAGGUAACCUGCCUUGUAGCGGGGGAUAACUAUUGGAAACGAUAGCUAAUACCGCAUACAAUGGAUGACACAUGUCAUUUAUUUGAAAGGGGCAAUUGCUCCACUACAAGAUGGACCUGCGUUGUAUUAGCUAAUAGGUGAGGUAAUGGCUCACCUAGGCGACGAUACAUAGCCGACCUGAGAGGGUGAUCGGCCACACUGGGACUGAGACACGGCCCAGACUCCUACGGGAGGCAGCAGUAGGGAAUCUUCGGCAAUGGGGGCAACCCUGACCGAGCAACGCCGCGUGAGUGAAGAAGGUUUUCGGAUCGUAAAGCUCUGUUGUAAGUCAAGAACGGGUGUGAGAGUGGAAAGUUCACACUGUGACGGUAGCUUACCAGAAAGGGACGGCUAACUACGUG